ACACAUUAGUCGGGGAGCCGUAAGGCUGAGAUCGCAUGAGACCCGUUGAACCUGAUCCAAUUAGCAUUGGCGUAGGGAACUAAUAAGCCUAAGUU
RNAcentral lists this non-coding RNA (95 nucleotides) under Vibrio rumoiensis. RNAcentral describes it as "TPP sequence". It matches the Rfam family "TPP riboswitch aptamer (THI element)". Rfam says of the family: Vitamin B(1) in its active form thiamin pyrophosphate (TPP) is an essential coenzyme that is synthesised by coupling of pyrimidine and thiazole moieties in bacteria. The previously detected thiamin-regulatory element, thi box was extended, resulting in a new, highly conserved RNA secondary structure, the THI element, which is widely distributed in eubacteria and also occurs in some archaea. Lineage: Bacteria; Pseudomonadati; Pseudomonadota; Gammaproteobacteria; Vibrionales; Vibrionaceae. The record is from RNAcentral. RNAcentral also lists the same sequence under 1 other name.